Molecule: transfer RNA, 61 nt
Filed under: Sycobia sp. 2 JXW-2020
Lineage: Eukaryota; Metazoa; Arthropoda; Insecta; Hymenoptera; Epichrysomallidae
Description: tRNA-Arg
Source: RNAcentral
UUAAAUAAUUCUAAUUAAUAGAGCUUAAUUUCGACUUAAGUUUAGGGCUACCCUAUUUAAU